This 1246-nucleotide ribosomal RNA is filed under the name metagenome. Its description in RNAcentral is "bacterial LSU rRNA". It matches the Rfam family "Bacterial large subunit ribosomal RNA", at positions 1689 to 2925 of the family's 2925-position model. The record is from RNAcentral.
CUUAGAGAACUCUGGAGAAGGAACUCGGCAAAUUGACACCGUAACUUCGGAAGAAGGUGUGCCUUUAGUAGGUGAACCAUUUACUUGGGGAGCCCAAUGAGGCCGCAGAGAAUCGGUGGCUGCAACUGUUUAUUAAAAACACAGCACUCUGCAAAGACGAAAGUCGACGUAUAGGGUGUGACUCCUGCCCGGUGCUGGAAGAUUAAAUGAUGGGGUGCAAGCUCUUGACUGAAGUCCCAGUAAACGGCGGCCGUAACGAUAACGGUCCUAAGGUAGCGAAAUUCCUUGUCGGGUAAGUUCCGACCUGCACGAAUGGAGUAAUGAUGGCCACACUGUCUCCUCCAGAGACUCAGCGAAGUUGAAAUGUUUGUGAUGAUGCAAUCUCCCCGCGGAAAGACGGAAUGACCCCAUGAACCUUUACUGUAGCUUUACAUUGGACUUUGAACAGAUCUGUGUAGGAUAGGUGGGAGGCUUUGAAACCAGGACGCUAGUUUUGGUGGAGCCAACGUUGAAAUACCACCCUGGUGUGUUUGAGGUUCUAACCUUGGCCCGUUAUCCGGGUCGGGGACAGUGUAUGGUGGGCAGUUUGACUGGGGCGGUCUCCUCCCAAAGUGUAACGGAGGAGUUCGAAGGUACGCUAAAUACGGUCGGAAAUCGUGUUGAUAGUGCAUUGGCAUAAGCGUGCUUGACUGCGAGACUGACAAGUCGAGCAGGUACGAAAGUAGGACAAAGUGAUCCGGUGGUUCUGUAUGGAAGGGCCAUCGCUCAACGGAUAAAAGGUACUCUGGGGAUAACAGGCUGAUACCGCCCAAGAGUUCAUAUCGACGGCGGUGUUUGGCACCUCGAUGUCGGCUCAUCUCAUCCUGGGGCUGUAGCCGGUCCCAAGGGUAUGGCUGUUCGCCAUUUAAAGAGGUACGUGAGCUGGGUUUAAAACGUCGUGAGACAGUUUGGUCCCUAUCUUCCGUGGGCGCUGCAAGAUUGAGAGAGCCUGCUCCUAGUACGAGAGGACCGGAGUGGACGCACCUCUGGUGUAUCGGUUGUCACGCCAGUGGCAUUGCCGAGUAGCUAAGUGCGGAAGAGAUAACCGCUGAAGGCAUCUAAGCGGGAAACUCGUCUCAAGAUGAGUCUUGCCGGGGCCUUGAGCCCCCUGAAGAGUCGUUCGAGACCAGGACGUUGAUAGGCUGGGUGUGGAAGCGCAGUAAUGCGUUAAGCUAACCAGUACUAAUUGCUCGUGAGGCUUGACCCG